AGGAUCUCAUCCAGGUUCUGCCUCUUCUUGUAGUUGAAGUAGAAGUUCUUGCACUGCGACACGGUCUUGGAGCCCACCAUCCUGGCAAUGGCCGACCAGUUCCGCCCAUGCUCGAGGAGACCCUUCUUGGCCGUUUCCAUCUCCUCUUCAGUCCAGCGAGAGCUUUCAUUCAUUUCCAGAGAGGCCAGCUCGGCGCUCUGCUGCGGCGUGGCCGCCUCCUCGCUGUUGGCUUCGUUGGCCAUGGAGCGCGUGAUGCGGCCCUUGCGCCGGCCCUGGCUGUUGGCGGUUUUGCGGCCUUUGGAGGUGACGGUUUCCUUCUCAUCGUUGUCUUCCCCGGACGUGUCGUCGUUCUUGUCCUUUGUCAGUUCUUCUUUGUCAUUUUCUGUUUCCUGUUUGUCUUCCUCUUUGUCUCCCUCCUUCUCCUUUUCUUUCUCUUUUUCAUCUUUCUCUUCUUGGCUGCUCCGGGGCAUUUGCUGCUGCUGCUGGCUUUUCCCACGCCGCCGGUAAUUCCUCCUCACGAGGUUCUUGUAGUUCUCAUUCUUCUUGGUCAGGUAGUAGUACAGGACGCAGUCUGCCACCGUCUUCCUGUCCAGAAAGGAGGCAAU
This 605-nucleotide long non-coding RNA is filed under the name Gallus gallus (chicken). Lineage: Eukaryota; Metazoa; Chordata; Aves; Galliformes; Phasianidae. The record is from RNAcentral.